Long non-coding RNA from Canis lupus familiaris (dog), 865 nucleotides. RefSeq lists it as uncharacterized. The record is from RefSeq and is a predicted model, not a curated record. Lineage: Eukaryota; Metazoa; Chordata; Mammalia; Carnivora; Canidae. The transcript is spliced from 3 exons.
AGAAGGUAUCAGUGCUUUCCUGACUGUGUCCUUCUGGUUUCCAGGACUUCCUCUGGGACAAUGAAAUGACAAGUGGCUGACAGCUAUCACAGAGACAGUAUUUUAUUUGUGAUGGAAAAUACUAUGUGCCAGAACUCGCUUUGGAGACAACAGAAAUAUUGUUGUAUACGGUUUCAUGAAGCAUUGAUGGUCUGUAGAGAAGCUAUGCAAAACUCAAAGCCCAACUCGUGUUGCUAUGUGUGCUUUACUCCAUAUCAAAAGAAAAGCUUAGUCAAGACCUAUAGUUAUAACUCUUACCCAGUUCCUGCAGCAGCAUGUAACCUACAGAAUUCAGUUGAUGCAGUCUGAACAAAAUGUUGGCAAACUAGAAAAUUUGGACAAGACUUUGAGGAAAGUUUAUUGAAAAAAUACCCCUGUGACCAAAGUCCUCACCUGCUGCGUAGCUGGGAGCCCGACUGUGAUAGUGAAGGAGAAGGACUGUGUGGUGUGGGAGAAGGUGCGGUGGUGGUCUGCACAGAACCAGCUGAAGAAGGAGGGGGGAUGCUGGAAGAUGGAUUCCGCAUGUAGGCACGGUUCGACGUGGACACCAGCUGAGGAGGGGGGCGACUAAAGUCUUGAACAGAGGAAGAAGCACGGACUCCUGAAGGCUGAUUGAACCAAGGGGAUGGUUUCCAAGAACUGGAUCUUGGGGAAUCCAGGUUAUCUAGAGAUUCACCUCUGAAACAUAGAAGAGUUCACGGAGACUAUUUAAUACUAUGUAACCAACUAGAAUCAAUUUAUCAUUAUAGUCAUUAAAAUACCCGUUCUAUGUAUUUCAUAAGUAGGUACUAAUCUGACAAGUCCAGUUACAUACAAAAUUACCUUU